UUGACUUAUUCAUAAACAAGACAUCUGACAAAAUAAUGUUAAAACAGAGUUGAACUAAACUGCCAAGGACUGGCCCCGCCAUACAGCAAGACCUGCACCAAGAACAGUUCAGACAUUCUAAACAAAGGGGAGAGAAGUUCAGGCCGAAGCCUGUAUCAACUCGAUAAUGAUCCUUCCGCAGGUUCACCUACGGAAA
This 196-nucleotide unclassified non-coding RNA is filed under the name uncultured fungus. RNAcentral describes it as "sequence contains ITS1". Lineage: Eukaryota; Fungi. The record is from RNAcentral.